CCUACGGGAGACAGCAGUGAGGAAUAUUGGUCAAUGGACGAGAGUCUGAACCAGCCAAGUAGCGUGAAGGAUGACUGCCCUAUGGGUUGUAAACUUCUUUUAUAUGGGAAUAAAAUGUUCCACGUGUGGGAUUUUGUAUGUACCAUAUGAAUAAGGAUCGGCUAACUCCGUGCCAGCAGCCGCGGUAAUACGGAGGAUCCGAGUGUUAUCCGGAUUUAUUGGGUUUAAAGGGAGCGUAGGUGGAUUGUUAAGUCAGUUGUGAAAGUUUGCGGCUCAACCGUAAAAUUGCAGUUGAAACUGGCAGUCUUGAGUACAGUAGAGGUGGGCGGAAUGCGUGGUGUAGCGGUGAAAUGCUUAGAUAUCACGAAGAACUCAGAUUGCGAAGGCAGCUCGCUGGACUGCAACUGACACUGAGGCUCGAAAGUGUGGGUAUCAAACAGGAUUAGAUACCCUGGUAGUC
This 460-nucleotide ribosomal RNA is filed under the name uncultured bacterium. RNAcentral's name for it is "partial 16S ribosomal RNA". It matches the Rfam family "Bacterial small subunit ribosomal RNA", at positions 338 to 795 of the family's 1533-position model. The record is from RNAcentral.